GGACUACCGGGGUUUCUAAUCCCGUUUGCUCCCCUAGCUUUCGCGCAUCAGCGUCAGAAGAGGUCCAGGAGCUCGCUUUCGCCACCGGAGUUCCUUCCAAUAUCAACGCAUUUCACCGCUCCACUGGAAGUUCCAGCUCCCCCUACCUCCCUCCAGCCGAUCAGUAUCCAAGGCACUUUUCCGGUUAAGCCGAAAGAUUUCACCCCGGACUUGAUCGACCGCCUACGCGCCCUUUAAGCCCAGUGAUUCCGAACAACGUUUGCACGGUUCGUCUUACCGCGGCUGCUGGCAC
Molecule: ribosomal RNA, 292 nt
Filed under: uncultured bacterium
Lineage: Bacteria
Also listed under: 2 other names
Description: partial 16S ribosomal RNA
Source: RNAcentral